GGUGGCUCAGUGGUAGAGCACUUGCCUUGCAUGCAUGAGGCCGUGGGUUUGACUCCUCAGCACCA
RNAcentral lists this transfer RNA (65 nucleotides) under Dipodomys ordii (Ord's kangaroo rat). It matches the Rfam family "tRNA". From Rfam's summary of the family: Transfer RNA (tRNA) molecules are approximately 80 nucleotides in length. Their secondary structure includes four short double-helical elements and three loops (D, anti-codon, and T loops). Further hydrogen bonds mediate the characteristic L-shaped molecular structure. tRNAs have two regions of fundamental functional importance: the anti-codon, which is responsible for specific mRNA codon recognition, and the 3' end, to which the tRNAs corresponding amino acid is attached (by aminoacyl-tRNA synthetases). tRNAs cope with the degeneracy of the genetic code in two manners: having more than one tRNA (with a specific anti-codon) for a particular amino acid; and 'wobble' base-pairing, i.e. permitting non-standard base-pairing at the 3rd anti-codon position. The record is from Rfam by way of RNAcentral. Lineage: Eukaryota; Metazoa; Chordata; Mammalia; Rodentia; Heteromyidae.